GACGAACGCUGGCGGCGUGCUUAACACAUGCAAGUCGAACGGAAAGGCCCCUCUGGGGGUACUCGCGUGACGAACGGGCGAGUAACACGUGAGUAACCAGCCCUUGCCUUCGGGAUAACUUCAGGAAACUGGGGCGAAUACCGGAUAGGAAUCCUUGCUGCAUGGUGGGGGUUGGAAAGCUUCGGCGGGUUUGGGUGGACUCGCGGGUUAUCUGCUUGUUGGUGGGGUGGUGGGUUACCAAGGAUUUGACGGGUAGCCGGCCUGGGGGGGCGACCGGCCACCUUGGGGCUGAGGUGCGGCCCCGGCUCCUACGGGGGGCAGCAGGGGGGAAUAUUGCCCAAUGGGCGGGAGCCUGAUGCAGCAACGCCGCGUGCGGGAUGACGGCCUUCGGGUUGUAAACCGCUUUCAGCAGGGGCGAAGCUUGUGGUGACGGUACCUGCAGAAGAAGCACCGGCUAACUACGUG
RNAcentral lists this ribosomal RNA (465 nucleotides) under uncultured bacterium. RNAcentral describes it as "partial 16S ribosomal RNA". It matches the Rfam family "Bacterial small subunit ribosomal RNA", at positions 28 to 507 of the family's 1533-position model. The record is from RNAcentral.